GUGGAUUAGUGGCGAACGGGUGAGUAACACGUGGGCAAUCUGCCCUUCACUCUGGGACAAGCCCUGGAAACGGGGUCUAAUACCGGAUACAACCACCGGCCUCAUGGUCUGGUGGUGGAAAGCUCCGGCGGUGAAGGAUGAGCCCGCGGCCUAUCAGCUUGUUGGUGGGGUAAUGGCCUACCAAGGCGACGACGGGUAGCCGGCCUGAGAGGGCGACCGGCCACACUGGGACUGAGACACGGCCCAGACUCCUACGGGAGGCAGCAGUGGGGAAUAUUGCACAAUGGGCGAAAGCCUGAUGCAGCGACGCCGCGUGAGGGAUGACGGCCUUCGGGUUGUAAACCUCUUUCAGCAGGGAAGAAGCGACUGUG
RNAcentral lists this ribosomal RNA (371 nucleotides) under Streptomyces sp. RNAcentral describes it as "bacterial SSU rRNA". It matches the Rfam family "Bacterial small subunit ribosomal RNA", at positions 87 to 458 of the family's 1533-position model. Lineage: Bacteria; Bacillati; Actinomycetota; Actinomycetes; Kitasatosporales; Streptomycetaceae. The record is from RNAcentral.